AUGUUGUAUGAAAGGAGAGAAAGUUAGCACUCCCCUUGAUACGGAUGGAAGGGGCCUUAGGUGGUCUUGCAGCACACAAAUGAUUAAGGCAUUGCCAUCUACUUAAUGGCAUCUAACCAUGUUUUUAG
Molecule: small nuclear RNA, 128 nt
Organism: Pristis pectinata (smalltooth sawfish)
Lineage: Eukaryota; Metazoa; Chordata; Chondrichthyes; Rhinopristiformes; Pristidae
Source: RefSeq, a predicted model, not a curated record